AAACUGCGAUAAGUAGUGUGAAUUGCAUUUAGUGAAUCAUCGAAUCUUUGAACGCACCCUGCACUCACUGGUAUUCCGGUGAGUACGCCUGUUUCAGUAUCAUUGAAAACACACAAUCAAAACAUUUUCUUUGGUUUGAUUGGCUUUGGGUCUAUCAAAAAGUUUGGCUUGUUUCUUACAAGCCAAGCGGCCUGAAAUAUAUUGUCUGGCUAAUUGCAUCGUUGAUGAUCGCUAUUAGACUUUGGCUUUUUUAAAUGAACUGGAGGUUGAUUAACCAGUUUUAGCUUUAGUCAAAUGGUCAUUGUAAAAAAAAUCUCGAUCUUGGCUAGGUGUUUAUAGCCGAAAAUUUUUUUUUGGCUAUAACCGAAACCAAUAUAAUCACAUUUAGUUAUCGAUCUGAAAUCAGGUGGGACUACCCGCAGAACAUAAGC
This 431-nucleotide unclassified non-coding RNA is filed under the name plant metagenome. Its description in RNAcentral is "partial contains 5.8S ribosomal RNA, internal transcribed spacer 2, and large subunit ribosomal RNA". The stretch from base 1 to 102 matches the Rfam family "5.8S ribosomal RNA", at positions 50 to 154 of the family's 154-position model. The record is from RNAcentral.